CAGUCGCCGCGGUAAGACAGAGGGUGCGAGCGUUAAUCGGAUUUACUGGGCGUAAAGCGUGCGUAGGCGGCUUCUUAAGUCGGAUGUGAAAUCCCUGAGCUUUACUUAGGAAUUGCAUUCGAUACUGGGAAGCUAGAGUAUGGGAGAGGAUGGUAGAAUUCCAGGUGUAGCGGUGAAAUGCGUAGAGAUCUGGAGGAAUACCGAUGGCGAAGGCAGCCAUCUGGCCUAAUACUGACGCUGAGGUACGAAAGCAUGGGGAGCAAACAGGAUUAGAUACCCCUGUAGUCCCUGUCUCUUAUAC
This 301-nucleotide ribosomal RNA is filed under the name uncultured bacterium. RNAcentral's name for it is "partial 16S ribosomal RNA". It matches the Rfam family "Bacterial small subunit ribosomal RNA", at positions 509 to 807 of the family's 1533-position model. The record is from RNAcentral.